GCCAUUUUAGCUUAGUGGUAGAGCGUCUGCUUCGUUAGCCGAAGGUCAUCAGUUCAAUCCUGGCAAGUGGCU
Molecule: non-coding RNA, 72 nt
Organism: Perkinsus marinus ATCC 50983
Lineage: Eukaryota; Perkinsozoa; Perkinsida; Perkinsidae
Source: Rfam